UAAGUUUUGGGGGAAAGUGUGUUCCCAAACACAUAUCCUGCUCUCUUGCUCCUCUUUCUAUGGCAAAGGAGGAGAAAUUUCUUCCAGAGACAUAAGCAGGAGGAAGCUGGAGCUCUCUCCUGAGUGAUUGUCAGUUGCAGAGGAGGUGAAUAUCACAGGACAAGCAAGCGUGGGGGAGAAGACUGCCUAAACAUUCUAAAGGAUGAUCUUUCUGAAGCAAAUCGGAUCAUGUCAAGUUUGCUGAAAAAGCACUCAAGCACCCCGACUCGUGGCCUAAGGAUCAAGCUUCUCAUCUGGCUCAGAAUAUCUUCCCAGCCUCAUCUCACAUUACCUGUGCUCCUUCCUCCCCUUUGCACAGUUCUCCAUCCACACAGAAAUAUUUCCCAUGCCCCAAACAACAGCCUGGCUCCCUUUCCUACUUUUGCACCUGAUUUUUCCCUCGAUCUGGUUUUCCUCUCAUGCCCUGCCUGCGAACCCUGUCUGCAAAAUAGCAUUAUGCACAAGGGGACCCACUGCCCUGCCUCGCUCAUCCUUCCUAGCAGCACUUAAGGCCCCCUCCCUGCAAA
RNAcentral lists this long non-coding RNA (566 nucleotides) under Pan troglodytes (chimpanzee). RNAcentral describes it as "long non-coding RNA NONPTRT015011". The record is from RNAcentral. Lineage: Eukaryota; Metazoa; Chordata; Mammalia; Primates; Hominidae.